Molecule: ribosomal RNA, 688 nt
Filed under: Faecalibacterium prausnitzii
Lineage: Bacteria; Bacillati; Bacillota; Clostridia; Eubacteriales; Oscillospiraceae
Description: bacterial SSU rRNA
Rfam family: Bacterial small subunit ribosomal RNA
Source: RNAcentral
GUUGAGGAAGAUAAUGACGGUACUCAACAAGGAAGUGACGGCUAACUACGUGCCAGCAGCCGCGGUAAAACGUAGGUCACAAGCGUUGUCCGGAAUUACUGGGUGUAAAGGGAGCGCAGGCGGGAGAACAAGUUGGAAGUGAAAUCCAUGGGCUCAACCCAUGAACUGCUUUCAAAACUGUUUUUCUUGAGUAGUGCAGAGGUAGGCGGAAUUCCCGGUGUAGCGGUGGAAUGCGUAGAUAUCGGGAGGAACACCAGUGGCGAAGGCGGCCUACUGGGCACCAACUGACGCUGAGGCUCGAAAGUGUGGGUAGCAAACAGGAUUAGAUACCCUGGUAGUCCACACCGUAAACGAUGAUUACUAGGUGUUGGAGGAUUGACCCCUUCAGUGCCGCAGUUAACACAAUAAGUAAUCCACCUGGGGAGUACGACCGCAAGGUUGAAACUCAAAGGAAUUGACGGGGGCCCGCACAAGCAGUGGAGUAUGUGGUUUAAUUCGACGCAACGCGAAGAACCUUACCAAGUCUUGACAUCCUGCGACGCACAUAGAAAUAUGUGUUUYCUUCGGAACGCAGAGACAGGUGGUGCAUGGUUGUCGUCAGCUCGUGUCGUGAGAUGUUGGGUUAAGUCCCGCAACGAGCGCAACCCUUAUGGUCAGUUACUACGCAAGAGGACUCUGGCCGGACUGC